GAACGCUGGCGGCAGGCCUAACACGAUGCAAGUCGAGCGGUAGAGAGGUGCUUGCAUCUCUUGAGAGCGGCGGACGGGUGAGUAAUGCCUAGGAAUCUGCCUAGUGGUGGGGGAUAACGUUCGGAAACGGACGCUAUACCGCAUACGUCCUACGGGAGAAAGCGGGGGGAUCUUCGGACCUCGCGCCAUUAGAUGAGCCUAGGUCGGAUUAGCUAGUUGGUGAGGUAAUGGCUCACCAAGGCGACGAUCCGUAACUGGUCUGAGAGGAUGAUCAGUCACACUGGAACUGAGACACGGUCCAGACUCCUACGGGAGGCAGCAGUGGGGAAUAUUGGACAAUGGGCGAAAGCCUGAUCCAGCCAUGCCGCGUGUGUGAAGAAGGUCUUCGGAUUGUAAAGCACUUUAAGUUGGGAGGAAGGGUAGUAACCUAAUACGUUGCUACUUUGACGUUACCGACAGAAUAAGCACCGGCUAACUUCGUG
This 482-nucleotide ribosomal RNA is filed under the name uncultured bacterium. RNAcentral's name for it is "bacterial SSU rRNA". It matches the Rfam family "Bacterial small subunit ribosomal RNA", at positions 31 to 507 of the family's 1533-position model. The record is from RNAcentral.